Molecule: ribosomal RNA, 1423 nt
Filed under: Pinus taeda (loblolly pine)
Lineage: Eukaryota; Viridiplantae; Streptophyta; Pinopsida; Pinales; Pinaceae
Description: SSU rRNA
Rfam family: Eukaryotic small subunit ribosomal RNA
Source: RNAcentral
AUUCCGGAGAGGGAGCCUGAGAAACGGCUACCACAUCCAAGGAAGGCAGCAGGCGCGCAAAUGACCCAAUCCUGACAUGGGGAGGUAGUGACAAUAAAUAACAAUACUGGGCUCAUCGAGUCUGGUAAUUGGAAUGAGUACAAUCUAAAUCCCUUAACGAGGAUCCAUUGGAGGGCAAGUCUGGUGCAAGCAGCCGCGGUAAUUCCAGCUCCAAUAGCGUAUAUUUAAGUUGUUGCAGUUAAAAAGCUCGUAGUUGGAUCUUGGGUCGUAAAGGUCGGUCCGCCUACUCGGUGUGCACCUGCCCUUCCGCCCCUUUUGUCGGCGGCGUGCUCCUGGCCUUAAUUGGCUGGGUCGCGGCUCCGGCGCUGUUACUUUGAAAAAAUUAGAGUGCUCAAAGCAAGCUUAUGCUCUGAAUACAUUAGCAUGGAAUAACGUGAUAGGAGUCUGGUCCUAUUGUGUUGGCCUUCGGGACCGAAGUAAUGAUUAAUAGGGACUGUCGGGGGCAUUCGUAUUUCAUUGUCAGAGGUGAAAUUCUUGGAUUUAUGAAAGACGGACCACUGCGAAAGCAUUUGCCAAGGAUGUUUUCAUUAAUCAAGAACGAAAGUUGGGGGCUCGAAGACGAUCAGAUACCGUCCUAGUCUCAACCAUAAACGAUGCCGACCAGGGAUCAGCGGAUGUUGCUCUAAGGACUCUGCCAGCACCUUCUGAGAAAUCAGAGUGUUUGGGUUCUGGGGGGAGUAUGGUCGCAAGGCUGAAACUUAAAGGAAUUGAUGGAAGGGCACCACCAGGAGUGGAGCCUGCGACUUAAUUUGACUCAACACGGGGAAACUUACCAGGUCUAGACAUAGUAAGGAUUGACAGAUUGAGAGCUCUUUCUUGAUUCUAUGGGUGGUGGUGCAUGGUCGUUCUUAGUUGGUGGAGUGAUUUGUCUGGUUAAUUCCAAUAACGAACGAGACCUGAGCCUGCUAACUAGCUACGCGGAGGUUCCCCUUCACGACCAGCUUCUUAGAGGGACUAUGGCCGUUUAGGCCAUGGAAGUUUGAGGCAAUAAUAGGUCUGUGAUGCCCUUAGAUGUUCUAGGCUGCACACGCGCUACACUGAUGCAGCCAACGAGCUUUUCUUCCUGGUUCGAGAGGAUCGGGAAAUGUUUUCAAAUUGCAUCGUGAUGGGGAUAGACCAUUGCAAUUAUUGGUCUUCAACGAGGAAUUCCUAGUAAGCGCGUGUCAUCAACUCGUGUUGACUACGUCCUUGCCCUUUGUACACACCGCCCGUCGCUCCUACCGAUUGAAUGAUCCGGUGAAGUGUUCGGAUUGCGUCGACGAUGGUGGUUCGCCGCCGUCGACGUCGUGAGAAGUUCAUUGAACCUUAUCAUUUAGAGGAAGGAGAAGUCGUAACAAGGUUACCGUAGGGGAACCUGCGGUAG